AAAAGCAGCUUGCUCCCUGCAACUCUCUCAUUGUUGCCCACUGAAGCUAAGCAUGGCUGUGGCCAGUCAGUACCUGGAUGGGAGACCACAUGGGGAAGCUAGGUUGCUGCUGUAA
RNAcentral lists this ribosomal RNA (115 nucleotides) under Danio rerio (zebrafish). The record is from RNAcentral. Lineage: Eukaryota; Metazoa; Chordata; Actinopteri; Cypriniformes; Danionidae.